RNAcentral lists this ribosomal RNA (148 nucleotides) under Hylemonella sp. Its description in RNAcentral is "partial 16S ribosomal RNA". It matches the Rfam family "Bacterial small subunit ribosomal RNA", at positions 1 to 150 of the family's 1533-position model. Lineage: Bacteria; Pseudomonadati; Pseudomonadota; Betaproteobacteria; Burkholderiales; Comamonadaceae. The record is from RNAcentral.
GAACUAUAGAGUUUGAUCCUGGCUCAGAUUGAACGCUGGCGGCAUGCCUUACACAUGCAAGUCGAACGGUAACGCGGGGCAACCUGGCGACGAGUGGCGAACGGGUGAGUAAUGCAUCGGAACGUGCCCAGUAGUGGGGGAUAGCCCG